UCUUUUGGAGAGUUUGAUCCUGGCUCAGGACGAACGCUGGCGGCGUGCCUAAUACAUGCAAGUCGAGCGGACCGAAUAGAAGCUUGCUUCUGUUUGGUUAGCGGCGGACGGGUGAGUAACACGUGGGCAACCUGCCCGUAAGACGGGGAUAACUUCGGGAAACCGGAGCUAAUACCCGAUAACCCUGAAGACCGCAUGGUCUUUAGUUGAAAGGCGGCUUCGGCUGUCACUUACGGAUGGGCCCGCGGCGCAUUAGCUAGUUGGUGAGGUAACGGCUCACCAAGGCGACGAUGCGUAGCCGACCUGAGAGGGUGAUCGGCCACACUGGGACUGAGACACGGCCCAGACUCCUACGGGAGGCAGCAGUAGGGAAUCUUCCGCAAUGGACGAAAGUCUGACGGAGCAACGCCGCGUGAGCGAAGAAGGUCUUCGGAUUGUAAAGCUCUGUUGUUAGGGAAGAACAAGUGCGGUUCGAAUAGGGCCGUACCUUGACGGUACCUAACGAGAAAGCCACGGCUAACUACGUGCCAGCAGCCGCGGUAAUACGUAGGUGGCAAGCGUUGUCCGGAAUUAUUGGGCGUAAAGCGCGCGCAGGCGGUUCCUUAAGUCUGAUGUGAAAGCCCACGGCUCAACCGUGGAGGGUCAUUGGAAACUGGGGGACUUGAGUGCAGAAGAGGAGAGCGGAAUUC
RNAcentral lists this ribosomal RNA (689 nucleotides) under Anoxybacillus sp. UARK-01. RNAcentral's name for it is "bacterial SSU rRNA". It matches the Rfam family "Bacterial small subunit ribosomal RNA", at positions 1 to 669 of the family's 1533-position model. Lineage: Bacteria; Bacillati; Bacillota; Bacilli; Caryophanales; Anoxybacillaceae. The record is from RNAcentral.